Long non-coding RNA from Gasterosteus aculeatus aculeatus (three-spined stickleback), 2095 nucleotides. The record is from Ensembl. NCBI's taxonomy places the organism in Eukaryota, Metazoa, Chordata, Actinopteri, Perciformes, Gasterosteidae.
UGUGUGUGUGUGUGUGUGUGUGUUGUCUAUACUCUGAAAAUACAAGUUUAUAAUUACCUUUUUUUGUGUUGUAAAAACAUGAUUCAACGUUCUUUAUUUAUAUUCAGCAAACCCGGGAGGUUGUGUAUUUUGUUCUUAUUGUUGUUAAACAUUUAAUGAAAGAAGAUCAGAUUAAUCAUAUUUGGGUACUAGGCAUGUACAUCUUAUGUAUAAGAAACCAGUUAGGAACCCGGCUAAGAUGUGACUUUUCACCACACAAGCCAUAGAUCUAGUUAGACAAAGGAUUUUAUCUAUUAUUUCAUUUCAUUUAAUUAAUCGUGUGUAUUUGAAUCUAACUCAUGUUUUCAGUUUGAAAAUCAAAUCGAACAGUCUCAACCUGAUCAGAAUAUGCGUGCCUGCUCAAAUAUAUGAUUCUGAAUAAGGGAUGACUUAUGGCAAGUAAACCUUCUUGUAAAGCCUUAAUCCACUACCAAAGCAAGUGAAACUCGUUUUAAGGAGGGAACUGUUGUUUUCGUUGCAUGUUUAUAGAUGAAAUCGAUGUAGUAAAAGUGGGACACAGACAGAUUCAAAUUAGAGAGGAGCACAGCAGUUGCAUGUGUGCCCAUAACAUUGGGGCUGGUUGCCUAGUCACAACGGAACACAGAGCUGGAUCCUGGUCCCUGAGGGUGGCCUCGACAUGCUGACUCAGCCACAUCCCUCAGCUGCAGGCUACAAUUGGCCCCCAGGAGCACAAAUCUGACCCACAUAGCUUGUUGCUAGGUACAAUUCAGCACCACCACACCCUUACUUUACACUUUACUUAUACUAAACAAACAUAACAGCCUUGCUACAGUCUUCUACAGAGAUGUAUUUUCUAUCGUAGUCCAACAUUGCACAAAGAACAUUGCUUUGAACUGAAUUACAGGCUUGAAUAGGCUGUCCUCACUUGACCCAUGAGCCCAUGAGGACAUUGUAACACAGGAAUAAACACCUUGUUUGUGCAGCAUCUGUGUAAUUUAUUAAAUACCUCACAGCCUAGUUAGUGUUUUAUUCUUUGUCCGUUGGGUAAAUUGGCCUUUUUGCCCUCAAAGUAAGGUUUGAAUCUAACAGUGUCCAUAUACUGGUCGAUUGCACACACACACACACACACACACACACACACACACACACACACUCACAUAAAGGGCAGUCAGAUGUGUGGUGGCCUGAGGCUUACUUGCCCUUGGCAACAGAGCGCGCGACCAUCGCCUCCCAUUAACCUUCUCCGAAGAGGGGGAAGAGAACUGCAAACAGACAAGAGCUGAAGACUUUAUAUUUAGAGGUGUGCUGCUGAGGCUCUGCUAGCUACCGGUAUUGCCUUUGUUCCAACGUGUGAAGCAGUGUUUGCAGGCUAGCAGUAACCUGGCAACAGGUUAGGUUUGAUGGUGUGCUUUUAUAUCAAUAUAUAUAUAUAGUAUAUACACUGAAACUGAAAUGGUGUGUUAAGAUACAGAUGAAGAAGGGUUCUUAUUUGAAUAUUGAAGUUGUUGCCCAGAUUAGUUCUUUUCUUGGAUUUUAAAUGUGUGGCAUGUUCAUACUUCCUCAUCUCCACUCUUCUCAGGUUUAAAUACUAUCUUCAACAUACAAAAUAUUAUUCAAGUUAAAUGUUUUUUUUUUCCUGUUAUUGAUACGUAUAGCUAUUUAUCAUUUUUUUUAUUAUUCUUGGUAACAUACUGUCUUUGUGUGCCGGACUGUUUUUACCUAAAGACGUGAAACCGCAUACAUUGUUGGAGCAUGCGCAAUACUUUCCACAGAGAGACCACUUAAUUAACGCAGCUCCGACGUUGCCUUUUUGUGUGUGUGAUCAUCUGUAUCAUCAAGUACUUGGAUAGUAUUGUUUUGAAGGACUUCUUCCUCCCAAUCAAUAAUUCAAGGUGUUCUUUUAAGCAGUGAGUAAACUGCAAAAUGGAUACGGAUCAAUUCAGAUAAGUUGACCUCCAUUAUGUCAUCGUGAAGACCUGAAAGUCAUUUAUUGAUGGCGAAUCAUGACUGACUUUCAAGAUGUUUCAUCGGUAACUCCAUUUAAUAGACUAGUAAUGUGAAUGUAGGGGUAAGAAGAUGGAGUUGACCCUACACU